CUGGCGGCGUGCCUAAUACAUGCAAGUCGAACGAACUCUGGUAUUGAUUGGUGCUUGCAUCAUGAUUUACAUUUGAGUGAGUGGCGAACUGGUGAGUAACACGUGGGAAACCUGCCCAGAAGCGGGGGAUAACACCUGGAAACAGAUGCUAAUACCGCAUAACAACUUGGACCGCAUGGUCCGAGUUUGAAAGAUGGCUUCGGCUAUCACUUUUGGAUGGUCCCGCGGCGUAUUAGCUAGAUGGUGAGGUAACGGCUCACCAUGGCAAUGAUACGUAGCCGACCUGAGAGGGUAAUCGGCCACAUUGGGACUGAGACACGGCCCAAACUCCUACGGGAGGCAGCAGUAGGGAAUCUUCCACAAUGGACGAAAGUCUGAUGGAGCAACGCCGCGUGAGUGAAGAAGGGUUUCGGCUCGUAAAACUCUGUUGUUAAAGAAGAACAUAUCUGAGAGUAACUGUUCAGGUAUUGACGGUAUUUAACCAGAAAGCCACGGCUAACUACGUGCCAGCAGCCGCGGUAAUACGUAGGUGGCAAGCGUUGUCCGGAUUUAUUGGGCGUAAAGCGAGCGCAGGCGGUUUUUUAAGUCUGAUGUGAAAGCCUUCGGCUCAACCGAAGAAGUGCAUCGGAAACUGGGAAACUUGAGUGCAGAAGAGGACAGUGGAACUCCAUGUGUAGCGGUGAAAUGCGUAGAUAUAUGGAAGAACACCAGUGGCGAAGGCGGCUGUCUGGUCUGUAACUGACGCUGAGGCUCGAAAGUAUGGGUAGCAAACAGGAUUAGAUACCCUGGUAGUCCAUACCGUAAACGAUGAAUGCUAAGUGUUGGAGGGUUUCCGCCCUUCAGUGCUGCAGCUAACGCAUUAAGCAUUCCGCCUGGGGAGUACGGCCGCAAGGCUGAAACUCAAAGGAAUUGACGGGGGCCCGCACAAGCGGUGGAGCAUGUGGUUUAAUUCGAAGCUACGCGAAGAACCUUACCAGGUCUUGACAUACUAUGCAAAUCUAAGAGAUUAGACGUUCCCUUCGGGGACAUGGAUACAGGUGGUGCAUGGUUGUCGUCAGCUCGUGUCGUGAGAUGUUGGGUUAAGUCCCGCAACGAGCGCAACCCUUAUUAUCAGUUGCCAGCAUUAAGUUGGGCACUCUGGUGAGACUGCCGGUGACAAACCGGAGGAAGGUGGGGAUGACGUCAAAUCAUCAUGCCCCUUAUGACCUGGGCUACACACGUGCUACAAUGGAUGGUACAACGAGUUGCGAACUCGCGAGAGUAAGCUAAUCUCUUAAAGCCAUUCUCAGUUCGGAUUGUAGGCUGCAACUCGCCUACAUGAAGUCGGAAUCGCUAGUAAUCGCGGAUCA
RNAcentral lists this ribosomal RNA (1349 nucleotides) under Lactiplantibacillus plantarum. RNAcentral describes it as "bacterial SSU rRNA". It matches the Rfam family "Bacterial small subunit ribosomal RNA", at positions 36 to 1351 of the family's 1533-position model. The record is from RNAcentral. Lineage: Bacteria; Bacillati; Bacillota; Bacilli; Lactobacillales; Lactobacillaceae.